UCGUGAGAGAGGCCAAGAGAAAGUUUUCACCCUCAAAACCCUAACAUACUAAUUCCAUCAAAUUGAAAAGGGGAAUCAAGGAUUUUUCAAAUGCAUGAGCCAAUAACUUCGACUAUCUAAGUGUUCUUGACAUCUAGAACAAAGAAGGAAGAAGGCACAAGUCACUUGAAGUCACAAGCAUCUCAAGAUCGCGGUAAAUCCCUUGUUUAAUUUCGGCGCGCUCGGACCGAACACACACACAAUGUCGACUUUAUGCGCUUCCGGUUCAAGUUGUUAUUUUGAAUGGGUCAAAUUACCAUUUUGUGUAGUAAAUGUUUAACUAGUAACUAGGAUAAUAGUAGUAGUUUGAAGUUUAAACUUUGUUUUGAAUAGUUCGGAUUUAAUGUUUUGAUGAAAUGUGUAAGGUUCUAAAUCUUAGUAUGU
Long non-coding RNA from Helianthus annuus (common sunflower), 423 nucleotides. RefSeq lists it as uncharacterized. NCBI's taxonomy places the organism in Eukaryota, Viridiplantae, Streptophyta, Magnoliopsida, Asterales, Asteraceae. The transcript is spliced from 3 exons. The record is from RefSeq and is a predicted model, not a curated record.